Molecule: long non-coding RNA, 316 nt
Filed under: Mytilus galloprovincialis (Mediterranean mussel)
Lineage: Eukaryota; Metazoa; Mollusca; Bivalvia; Mytilida; Mytilidae
Source: RNAcentral
CUGUUAUUUUCGUGAGUCUAGUUUGUAUCUCCCUGUCACUUGAGUUGUUCGGGACUGACAUUCAUUCCCAGUUUAUAUCUGGACAGUUAUAACCUCCAGUUAGCAUGAUGUUGGUGUUUGUAUUUGACAUCAUUUGUAAAGAUUUCUCUAGUUCGUCUAGGCAUUUCAUGUUUCUAUGUGGCAUGUAUAAUGACCCAAUUUAGCAGUUCUUUUUUGGCUUUAACGUGUAUUUUUACCCAUUCUAUCUCACAGUUGGUGACUAGACUGGACUGUUCAACUGAUAUGAUGUCCUUGUGGACCAAGAUGAAGACUCCCC